RNAcentral lists this ribosomal RNA (408 nucleotides) under uncultured bacterium. RNAcentral describes it as "partial 16S ribosomal RNA". It matches the Rfam family "Bacterial small subunit ribosomal RNA", at positions 28 to 526 of the family's 1533-position model. The record is from RNAcentral.
GACGAACGCUGGCGGCGUGCUUAACACAUGCAAGUCGAACGAAGUGGCGAACGGGUGAGUAACGCGUAAUCAACCUGCCCUUCAGAGGGGGACAACAGUUGGAAACGACUGCUAAUACCGCAUACUGAAGGAGGGGAUUGCGUCUGAUUAGCUAGUUGGAGGGGUAACGGCCCACCAAGGGGAUGAUUAGUAGCCGGGUGGGAGAGGUGGACGGGCACAAUGGGACUGAAGACCGGGCCAGGAUCCUACGGGAGGGAGGAGGGGGGAAAUUUCCGCAAUGGGCGAAAGUCUGGAGGAGGAAAGGCGGGGGAGGGGAGACGGGCCUCGGGGUGUAAAGGUCUGUUAAGCGGGACGCGUUACCGGAAUAGGAAGCAACGGCUAACUACGUGCCAGCAGCCGCGGUAAUAC